This 1684-nucleotide long non-coding RNA is filed under the name Helianthus annuus (common sunflower). RNAcentral describes it as "hypothetical non coding rna". The record is from RNAcentral. Lineage: Eukaryota; Viridiplantae; Streptophyta; Magnoliopsida; Asterales; Asteraceae.
GUGUGUUUCUGGUCGACAUUUUCACCAGACAAGAAAAGAUUCUUCUCUUGAACCCUAAAUUACAAAGAAAUGCUCAAAUCGAAGGGGAAAUCAAGCUAAAAAUUGGGGAUUUUAUUAAAUUCGUGAUCACCAAGUCAUGAGGAUCACAAGUUUGACUCUUGACGAGCUAGGUGAAGCUUGGAGGAGAUGAUCAAACGGGAUAAAGACACAAGUAAGAUUUGCUUGGAUGAAAGGUAAGUAAAGCUUACACCUAUUUUUUUAGCAUACGUAUUUAUUCUAUAGGUGAUAAAUACAACAAUAGAUCAUGUUCGAAUUAUGGGUUCCGACACGAAACGAAAUGGGUUGGAACGAAUAAAAAUGUUUAAAAUCAUGAUUAAUGGUGAAAGAGGUAAAAUGGUAAUUUAGUCAUAAAUCGACUAAGAAUUUAUGAGUUUUCUUAAAGUUACCUCAUAGCUUAACUAAUAAUGGAAAAAGGGGUAAAAUGGUAAUUUAGUCACGUGAUGACUUAUUGUAAUCGAGAUUAAAAGGAUAUCCACGGCGUAAGCCGAACUGGGUCAAAUAUGUAAGAAAAAAAGGAUAUUUUUGUGGUAAAAUCCGUAAUGGGUCGGAUGCGUGAUUGAGUAAUUAGAAACCAUGAUUUGUAAUAAAUAUAAUUGUUUGGUCGUAUAGACCAAAUGGGUCAAAUGAUGGUGAUAACAUCAUAUGACCAUAUCGACUAAUGUUGGUUGUUAAGUCAUAUGUUUACAGGAACGAAUAGCAAUUUGGAUAAUUGUGUCGUCAUAGAAUAUUGAAUUAAUAAUAGCAAGGGAUAAACGGGUCUAUACGUUGACUCGAGCCAGGUACGCUUAUAUAUAGAUUUAUAGUUAAAAGUGUUUAACUUCCCUUAACGGGUCAAAAUGAGUAGAUAGGUAAAACGGGUUAAGAAUUCAUAAGAAACCCGUAAUUUGAACCUUGCAUAUUAAUAAAUUGAUAUAACGUGAUAUGCAUGAUAUUUUGAAAAGGUAAUAAACAAGUUUGUUUGAUAAAUCACGAACGGGUCAAAAAGUGUCAUAAUUGAAUUUCAAGCCGAGAGCUUGAAAGUUAAAAUUUUGUGAAUUUAGAUGUCGGGUUUUCACUCCGUAAGAUGGAGAAUUAAAUUACGAACGCAUAGGAAAAAGAAUCGCGAAGAACGGACUUGUAGAAUGAAAGUUAUGCCAAUUUAAAGUUCGAAAUUUGUUAAAAUUGGAGCUGGACAGAAAAUGCAGGUUCAGAUAUAAACAUGCUGGAAACUGGUCUCCCCCGCGGCACGCGAAGGGGAAAUAAGGUCCGGGCGCGACACGCGAUAGGCGUCGCGGCACACGACACAUCUACUUGAGUCUCUUGCGACCCGCGAGAGACAUAAAGGCUGGAAAAAUUAUUUUUGGUUAAUUGCUUGUUGCGUAGAACUUGUUUAAACUUAUAUUUAAGUUAUCAAAACUACCUUUUAGGUUGGUUUUGAUCAUAGGUGAAUAUCGAAAGUACCCGGAUGAAGAUCAAGCGAUGAGAAAGAACCGAACACAUGAAGAAGAAGCUUCCACACGUUGUUUCGUCGAAAUUUUUUAAACGACAAACUAAACUACAUUAUGUUGUUCUAAAUUUUAAAUUGUAAAAGUUUUAAUAAACCCGUGCUUUGUAAUGUAUAUGUGCUCUUAAUCACAUGUUUAUU